GGGUUUGUUGUUCACAGUUAGUAGUUACAACCUGGGCACACUCUUUAUUCGAUUGUCUGACUCACAUCUAGGAUAUUUUAUUUCCAUUGUAUUUGGCGAUGAUGAUGCGAAGAAGCUCUUCUAUUCAUGGAUUCCCUCUUCUUCGAUACUUUGCUUUGUCUUCUAAUCCCACGCACUUUCUUCUUCACCCAUCACAUUCUUCUUCAACUUUCUCCACCUACGUCAGAGAUAGUGACAAUCAUAAUCAUAAUAACGCCUCUAUAAAUACAAGAAGAGCUCAAUUCCUUGAUUCCAUGAGAAAUGUGAAAUCUGUAGACGUUGCUUUGGAUUUCUACCACAAAAUGGUCACAAUGAAGCCUUUCCCAUGUGUCAAGGACUUCAACUUGUUGUUUGGCAUCGUUGCGAAGAUGAAACACUACACAACUGCAAUUUCGCUAAUCAAACACAUGUCUUAUAUUGGUGUCAAACCGAAUGUCUCCACUCACAAUAUCGUCAUUAAUUGUCUCUGCCGUUUGAACCACACCGUGUUUGGCUUCUCUGUUUUGGGGCUUAUGUUCAAAAUUGGUGUGGAACCUAGCAUCGUGACUUUUACCACCAUUGUUAAUGGGCUUUGCGUAGAAGGAAAUGUUGCUCAAGCAAUUAGGUUUGUUGACCAUUUGAAAGAUAUGGGCUAUGAAUCUGACAGAUAUACCCGUGGAGCAAUAAUUAAUGGAUUGUGUAAAGUUGGUCAUUCAUCCGCUGCACUCUCGUAUCUCAAGAAGAUGGAAGAACAAAAUUGCAAUUUGGAUGUUACAGCUUACAGUGCAGUUGUGGAUGGUCUUUGCAAGGAUGGGAUGGUAUUUGAGGCCUUGGAUUUAUUCUCACAAAUGACAGGCAAAGGUAUUCAACCGAAUCUUUUCACCUAUAAUUGCUUAAUUCAUGGCCUUUGUAACUUUGAUAGAUGGAAAGAGGCUGCACCUCUAUUGGCUAACAUGAUGAGAAAGGGAAUCAUGCCAGAUGUGCAAACUUUUAAUGUUAUAGCUGGCAGAUUUUUGAAAACAGGGAUGAUUUCUAGGGCUAAAAGCAUAUUCAGUUUCAUGGGGCAUAUGGGGAUUGAACAUAAUGUUGUCACCUAUAAUUCAAUAAUUGGUGCUCAUUGUAUGUUAAAUCAAAUGAAGGAUGCCAUGGAAGUAUUUGAUUUGAUGAUUCGCAAGGGCUGCUUACCAAACAUUGUAACUUAUAAUUCAUUAAUCCAUGGAUGGUGUGAAACUAAAAACAUGAAUAAGGCCAUGUAUUUCUUGGGUGAAAUGGUAAAUAAUGGACUAGAUCCAGAUGUUGUCACAUGGAGCACUCUUAUUGGGGGGUUUUGCAAAGCAGGGAAACCAGUAGCCGCAAAAGAAUUGUUUUUCGUAAUGCACAAGCACGGGCAACUUCCCGAUCUCCAAACUUGUGCUAUUAUAUUGGAUGGCCUAUUUAAGUGUCAUUUUCAUUCUGAGGCAAUGUCAUUGUUUAGGGAGUUGGAGAAGAUGAAUUCAGAUCUUGAUAUUAUAAUUUACAGUAUUAUUUUGAAUGGAAUGUGUAGUUCUGGAAAACUGAAUGAUGCACUGGAACUCUUUUCUUAUCUGUCAAGUAAAGGCGUCAAAAUUGAUGUUGUUACUUAUAACAUAAUGAUUAAUGGUCUAUGUAAAGAAGGACUGUUGGAUGAUGCCGAAGACUUAUUGAUGAAAAUGGAAGAGAAUGGUUGUCCCCCAGAUGAGUGCACUUAUAAUGUCUUUGUCCAAGGAUUGCUGCGAAGAUAUGAAAUUUCAAAGUCAACAAAAUACCUUAUGUUUAUGAAAGGUAAAGGUUUUCGGGCAAAUGCUACCACCACCAAAUUGCUUAUCAACUACUUCUCUGCUAACAAAGAAAACAGGGCAUUCCAAGUGUUUUUGCAGAAAUUUGUUUGAGUAUUUAAUAUUGGUAUAUUAAAAUACCAACAUUUUCUUGAGGGCCAACUUAUUAGCAGAGUCAGGCUCUGUACUUCAGGAAGCACUAAGGGCAAGAUGGUUGAAGGAUGAUACAACUUGCAUUGCAGUUGAUACAAUUCCACCUGAUUCAUCACCACUCCCCUAAAAGCAAAACAAUUUGUGUGCUCUUUUGUUCGGGAAGAUGUCUCAUGACUCUGCUGCUAAGUUGUCAAAAAAGCUUUCAGCUAUAAAUAUAGUUGAGGAACUAUUUGAAGAAGGAUCAACAAUGCUUUCUAAAUUCUAUUCUUAUAAUCUUUUAUUGAAAAAUCUUUUUUCUUUUCUUUUUACAAAUUAUAAAAUUCUCAUGACAGUGUCCUGCAUAUUGUUUUCCUUAUCUGAACCUCCUUUUCUGUCCCCACAGGGUUCCUGUAAUUAAAUGUUGUCGUGUAGUUAAUAUACAAUUUUUUUUUGGUUCUGGGGGCAGUGUGUGUGAGGAUGGUCAUUCAAUUAUUUAUUCUGUGAUCAUAGGAACUAAUUCAUUUGUAA
Molecule: RNA transcript, 2471 nt
Organism: Glycine soja
Lineage: Eukaryota; Viridiplantae; Streptophyta; Magnoliopsida; Fabales; Fabaceae
Gene name: putative pentatricopeptide repeat-containing protein At1g12700, mitochondrial
Exons: 2
Source: RefSeq, a predicted model, not a curated record